This 62-nucleotide transfer RNA is filed under the name Lanthanaphalara mira. Its description in RNAcentral is "tRNA-Trp". Lineage: Eukaryota; Metazoa; Arthropoda; Insecta; Hemiptera; Aphalaridae. The record is from RNAcentral.
AAGACUUAAGUUAAAUAAACUAUUAACCUUCAAAGUUAAAAUUAAUUAAAAUUAGACUUUGA